This is a small nucleolar RNA of Prunus persica (peach), 82 nucleotides long. It matches the Rfam family "Small nucleolar RNA snoR8a". Lineage: Eukaryota; Viridiplantae; Streptophyta; Magnoliopsida; Rosales; Rosaceae. The record is from Rfam.
GAGGCUGCCAAAGCCAAAUGAUGGAUGCUAUUUCCAUGGCACGAUAGACGACGUAUUUUUACACCCAUAGAGUAUGAGCACC